Molecule: non-coding RNA, 30 nt
Filed under: Rattus norvegicus (Norway rat)
Lineage: Eukaryota; Metazoa; Chordata; Mammalia; Rodentia; Muridae
Source: RNAcentral
UAGAUGACCUGGAGGAUAACACCACAAAAU